UACAGAGGUCUCAAGCGUUGUUCGGAUUCAUUGGGCGUAAAGGGUGCGUAGGUGGCGCGGUAAGUCGGGUGUGAAAUCUCGGAGCUUAACUCCGAAAUUGCAUUCGAUACUGCCGUGCUCGAGGACUGGAGAGGAGACUGGAAUUCAUGGUGUAGCAGUGAAAUGCGUAGAGAUCAUGAGGAAGACCAGCGGCGAAGGCGGGUCUCUGGACAGUUCCUGACACUGAGGCACGAAGGCCAGGGGAGCAAACGGG
This 253-nucleotide ribosomal RNA is filed under the name uncultured bacterium. Its description in RNAcentral is "partial 16S ribosomal RNA". It matches the Rfam family "Bacterial small subunit ribosomal RNA", at positions 524 to 776 of the family's 1533-position model. The record is from RNAcentral.